GAGCUGCAGGUGAAAGCCUUCUGUAUUUCAGCAGAGCAGCCAGCUUUUCAAUCAUGGCGAGGUUCCGAUAAAUUGAAAGUUAAGGGAUGGUAUACGUGGAACAAAAUUCCUAUUGGGAGAGCAUUCCAAGGUGGAAACUGUGGGGUACACAGACACAAAAUCUACAGAGAAAAAUGCUGCUGUUAGGUGCUGUUUUGAGCCUGCCAGUUCUUAGGAGUCAAGGUCAGAAGAAAAUGAAGCAACACAAAUCAAACAUUCAUUAAAACUAGCUCUUCAAGGCAUACAUGCAGACUGUGAGACUUUUUUUUUUUGUUGCACUAGCAGGUGCUGCUUAGUUUUUUUUUUUAUAUGUCUUUGAGAGUCUAGUGGCCAAGAUGAAUGGAGAAAAAUCACCAAGCUGCUUAAGGAAAAGCAUCACCACCUGAUUGUUCCUCUCGAGCAGCUUUGAAGAUACAUCCCACUCUCUGAUAAAAAAGCAGGAAGUUAUAACAAGGUUGCAUGCCUUCUUCUGGAGGAAAGCUUUAUUUAGAUUCUUGUACUCUGUGGCAAAGCUGUAAGUGCAAUUAUCACACAAACAUCAAUCGAAUUCAGGCUAGACUUAGAUCAGCAAAUUGUAUAGAGAAACAAACCU
Non-coding RNA from Meleagris gallopavo (turkey), 631 nucleotides. The record is from RefSeq and is a predicted model, not a curated record. NCBI's taxonomy places the organism in Eukaryota, Metazoa, Chordata, Aves, Galliformes, Phasianidae.